Molecule: long non-coding RNA, 966 nt
Filed under: Pan paniscus (pygmy chimpanzee)
Lineage: Eukaryota; Metazoa; Chordata; Mammalia; Primates; Hominidae
Description: lncRNA (ENSPPAG00000045250.1)
Source: RNAcentral
AUGUAAACAGAGUCCUUAUAGAGGGAUCUCCUAAAUAAGUAUCUCAAAGAAUAGCUUUACCUUUUCCAUAUUUACUGCAGGUCUCCAACAUACUUUUUUGUUGUUGUUGUUUUGUUUUGUUUUGUUUUUCGUUGCCCAGGCUGGAGUGCAAUGGCGUGAUCUCUCCGCUCACUGCAACCGCCGCCUCCGGCUCCCAGGUUCAAUCAAUUCUCCUGCCUCAGCCUCCAUAGUAGCUGGGAUUACGGCGCCUGCCGCCACGCACGGCUGAUUUUUUGUAUUUUUAGUAGAGACGGGGUUUCACCAUGUUGGUCAAGCUGGCCUCAAACUCCUGAACUCAGGUGAUCCACACACCUCGGCGACCCAAGCUGCUGGGAUUACAGGCGUGAGCCACCGCGUCCUGCCCAACAUACAUUUUUUUUUUUACUUCACAGGAAUCCCAGAUACAGGCCAUAGGUUUUUCUUUUUGUUCCCCUCUAGCUAGUUUUAAAUUCCAAGUGACAUCUUUCCCUGUGGGAAAUCAGCAAAGAUAGAGCUAUAGCUAGAGAUUAAAGCGGGAGGAGCAGGCUUGGAGAGAAAAUGAAAGGAAGAGAUAAGAUUAAAAAUCAACAUUCUAUGCAAAAAGAGCCCAGAGCAAAGGGCCUAAGUGGCCACUUCCCCCAUCUCUGUCGUAACACCAGGCCGAUUCCUGCAUCCUGGCUGCCAAGUUCUUUAUGGAGAACUCAGUUCUCCCUUGAGAGAGACCUGCGCUGGCACUAUGGAAUAAGCAUGCUACAUUAACUUUCUAAAGGCCACUGGGGAACAAUUUACUGAACUGCAAACUUAAAGGUAAUGUAGUGCUAAGUGGUAUAUCCUUCUAUCCUUCAAAGACUUUAUUGGGCUCCUGUUUCUGGUGAUUAGGGUUGAGGUACCUCAUAUGUUUGUUUCACUCAAGUCUGGCUUUUGUUACAUGCAAAAUGAGAAGGCAGA